Long non-coding RNA from Amphiprion ocellaris (clown anemonefish), 2380 nucleotides. The record is from Ensembl. NCBI's taxonomy places the organism in Eukaryota, Metazoa, Chordata, Actinopteri, Pomacentridae.
UGGCUGCAGCAUUCAGGUGUGCAGGAGCGGUGGGGAAGCCACGAACGAGAGAGCUGCAGGAGCCCCUUAUCGUAGCCAAAUCAGAGACGGACGACGGAGUGAGAGAGUAGAUGCAAAUCGUGGAACUGGCCAGGUCCUUGAUUGAUGGCGAGCUUAAUGGAGCCCUGAACCUAAAGCAAAGCAACUGCUGAAGAAUCGAGUCGCACCUCUCCUGCCAGGCUGGUAGGGGGCUCUUGGUGGCCCACAAACUCUCCCCACUCAAAACCUUGAAUUGUCCGCCUUGCCCACAUACAAUCUUUUUUUCACAAACCCUCCCAUGCGCACUCUUCCUCCUGGACAAUCACAUUCAACCCAGACGUGGGUUACAUGAACUGUGGGAUUGGGUUGGUACAUUGGGGUCAAUUCCCAAGUGUUGAGAAUUUUGUGGACUCAUUUGCGCUUUGCAUUGAGAUUCGAAUUGUAUAUCAAUGUUUCUGAUUCAUGUCCUGAAGUUGCAUAGUUAAUGAAUUAUUUUGAAUAUUCAUUAUUGAAUGGCCAUUUAUGAGUUACUGUUUGUUAUUCACUGUAAAUAUUUGCACUGUUGGCUGUCUUAUAUGUUUAAAGAAAUAUUCAAUAUAUGGUACCUGCAAACACAAAAUCAGCUUCCUGUCUACUCUCUCCUUGAGCCGAAUUUAGCCUUCUGAUUACUAGCCUAACGAACCUAACUAUUUCUGGUGUUAGUAAACCAGUUCUUUACUACUUACCUACUACACAGGUGUUACACUUGUAUCAGCAGUAUGGUUUCUCUCACUUGCAAAGUGAAGAAUAAUGUUUUAGUUCAAGGGGUGUAAAUGAUUUAGCACAAUGCUGACAGCUGUUUGGUUCCUCCAGAGUGAACACAUUAAUAACAAGAAAAGCACUCAGAGAGUGCAGUACUCCACCAAAGCUGCUCAGUCUUUCUAUCACUUCCGAUGGAUGAAAUCUUUAAUGAAAAAACUGACCUUGCGCUGAGCACAGGCGUGUGUUAUGCAUGUGUACGUUAUGUACUGAUUCCAAACCACGUGACCUAAAUAUAUAGCAGGCAGUGGGAACUGAUGGGACUCAACAACACCCCCACAAUUUAAUCAGUUGUUUCUUGCAUCAUUCCCGAUGGACAAGUCCUGGUGGAUUUGUAAAAGGAUCGCAAUCAUGUGAUCGUCAACAGGCGGGUGACGUAGCGUUCACUUGUUGCAUAAUUACAGUAGCACAGUGCUGCUAUCUCUCAAUGGGAAAUCCUUAACAAAGCCGUGAAGCCAGACUAUAAGCCGCAUCAUUGCCAAAAUCUAAUGAGGUGGUCCGUGUGUCAUUUCUGACCUUCCUUUAAAAUUUCGUCCAAAUCCAUUAUUCUGUUUUUGAGUAAUGUGCACAGAUGGAUUCACGUACACUGAUCGUCACAUAACUCUGCCGCAUUCCUUGGCUGAGUAAUAAUUUCUCAUAGGAUUUUCAAGGCUUUAUUGAACUGGUCACAUCUGUACAGUCUCCCUCCCAAAUUAAGUCUUUGAUGAAGCUGUAGCCAGUAUGAUGCUUUCUAUGGUCUCUUACAGUGGAAAAGGUGUAUCGUCCCCCCUCAGUGAACGUUUAUCGAUCGUUGACUUCAGUGAUGUCUCUCUGACUUUCUCACAGUGGUCACAGAUGUAAGGCUUCUGACCAGUAUGACUCUGUUAGUGGAUUCUAUAGUCCCUUGCAGAUGAAAAGCUUUUCUACAUUCAUCACAGCAACAUGGUUUCUCUCCAAUGCAGACUGUCUGAUGACACUUCAGCUUAAAGGUUGCUGUUGAGACUUUCUUACACUGCUGAGAACAGUGAGAUAUCAUCCAGUGUGGUAUAUUAGCCUUCGCCCUGAGUCAGCUGGGAUAGGCUCCAGCCUUCCUGUGACCCUACAGAGGAUUAAGAUGUAUAGAUAAUAUGGAAGAUGCCAGCAUCAGAGGAGAGAAGAAAGUCAUUAGUAACUUUGAGGAGAUGUCAGUACUGUGGUUAGAGCAGAAUCCAGAGUGGAAAGAUCCAUACAGCUUGUUGGCAGAGAGACGGGCUUUGAGUUGUGAUGCAACAGCACCUUCCAGUAUUUCAGAUAAAAAGGUGAGGGUGAGAUUGGUCUGUAGUUAUUUGGGAUGUCAGGAUUCAGUUCAGGUUUUUCAAGAAUGGGGGUGACAGCAGCAAAUUUAGACAGAGUGGGAUGAAGCCAGAAGAUAGUGAGAAGUUUAUAGCCAUGAUGAGUGGGAAUAGUUUUGGAAAGUAGUCCUCAACAAACUAACCCUAACCCUGUUAUCAUAUUUAUUUGUCUGUGCUACUGUCUGUCAUCCUCUUUUCUCCUUUAUUUUGCCUCCAAAUGUAACCAGAUGCAAUUAAACUUAAACAAUGAAGGC